UGGUCCUUUCUAAUCCCUGACGGUCAGCCUGUGGCCUGCCAGAUUUUGCUUGUGGACCUCAGGAACCUUGCCGGGAGUGAGGGGGGCAGUGUAAGAAUAUGUUGGUCACUGGCAACUUCUGUCUUCCAAUAUGA
Molecule: small nucleolar RNA, 134 nt
Filed under: Pteropus vampyrus (large flying fox)
Lineage: Eukaryota; Metazoa; Chordata; Mammalia; Chiroptera; Pteropodidae
Source: RNAcentral